AAGAACUGAAUCUGUAACUGCGUUAAAAGGUUAGGGAAUUGAAUCCCAGAGUCUCAGAGGGGCUAUUUCAAGUCCUCAGCCAACCAAAGUUGAACUGUACACCUAUGGCAACCUAAUUCCCAGCCCUGAGCUUCACCUCAUCGCGGGUCACAGAAACAACAACUUCAGAAUACCUGGAAUGAUGAUGGAGUGAUGAUGUGACCUUUUGCACUGUGGGGGAGGCAUUCCGUGCUCUGAUGGUCGUGGGCUCCUGUUGACUCCAAUCUCCCCCAUCAUCACCGAAGACCAUUUUUUGUGGCAAGCUAUUAGAGAAGAAAAGGAAUAAGCUCAGCCUGCUGCCUCCUCCUGAGCACACUGCCUGAGAGCCAACGGCCCGGACCACAGGAGGCUUCCAGAUGCUGGCGGAGAAGCAGGAAUCAUUACAACGGAGCAGAGCCCCACACAGAGGUGGAAAGAUCCUCUUAGCGCUCAUUAAUUGUAAUUUUCAGGAUUAAUGCAAAAGAUUUGGCAGCUUGACAGGAGGGAGUUUUAACACAGAUAAUUCACCGCAGCUCACUGGAGCUGAGGACAGGGUCACUGUCCCCCUGCCACAAUGCAACAGGUUGGGUAGAUUACAACCCUGCCAUGCGUACUGCAAUCAUCACUAUGCUCUGCAAUGAAAGAGCUGCCUUUGAAGCUUUGGGAUCACCCUCCAUCAGGCCCUAUUAGAAAUCCACAUCUUUGUAUAAGGGACCACCAGGUGUUAGAGCCUUGAAGUCAUAGCUGGAUACCUUCCGUGGAGGCAUUGGAGUCCCAGUGCCAAUCCCAUCACCUGUUUCCUCUUCUGCUAAGCUCAGAGUCAUGGCUUGCACUUCUCCCUUCCCUGUACAUGGGCAAUGUUCUGCCUGUGUGAUGUGCUCCCAUAUCAUUAAAAAGCAAAUGGUAAAACAUAUUUGCUCUGUACUGCCUUGGCUUCACAAACUCUCUUCCCCUGGCUCACUCCACUGCUGUGAGCAGCCACACUAGUGCCAGCAGCUCUGCCUGUAACAGCAACAAUAUUCACUGCUUAAAUAUUUGCAGGAUCACUGUCUGAAUUGGCAUUCUUUCCAAAGCUAUCUGGGCUCCAUGAAAAACUCGUGGAAUAAACACAGUAACACAGGGCCAGCUCCUCAGCUAGUGCUAGUCAGUUUGCUUCUGUGUAAGCCAAAUUGAGGAUCCGCUCUUCCUCGUGUCUGCCUAAGAUAUGCAAGAAAAUGAACAAUGCUAGCAAAUGUACAUGCACUUCAGUGGUGAAUUGGUGCAUCUUUUCAUUUAUUGUCUUGAUUUUUCUGUUUUCUACUGCUGGGAAAUUAUGCAAAUAUUUCUCGUACUAGAGAAGAAUACCAAUAAUUAAGAAAUGUGCAGCUUGGAUUUGAAAUGAUGUCGUGAAUCCCAUAGCAAAGUUCUCAUGCAGCAGCACAUUAACAGCUGUGAUGACUGCUAUGUGACACAAGGGCUGGAUUUCAGCCCCCAAGAAGGUCACUGUGCAUUGUUUGUUUGGCACUUAUAUGGAAAAAAAUAGCAGAAAAAGAGAGCAGGGCACAAGACCUUGGCCAGUUUUCCGACGUGUUUGUGCAGGAGUCGUUAAACAGCAUCAUCUCUUAGGGGAAGAGAAGGAGGCCAUGUGGCUCUGGUAUUGGGCCAACUCAGACAAAAGGUGUCACCUCGCUGUCUUCAUGGGGACAAGCACUGAUUGGCAGGAAUGGCAAACAAACUUUUUGCAGGUAACAUCCUUGAAGGCCAAAGAAGUUCUGGGUACUGUAACAGGGCACCUAUGGCCCUAGGCAAUAGGGAUCUCAGCUUUAGUUCAUAGAAUCAUAGAACCGUUUCAGAUGGAAGGGAUUCUUAAAGGCCAUCUUGUCCAAUGCCCUGCAAUGCACAGGGACACCCACAGCUCCAUCGGUGCUCAGAACCCCACCCAGCCUGACUUUAAUGUCUCCAGGGAUGGGGA
Meleagris gallopavo (turkey) is the source of this 1969-nucleotide non-coding RNA. The record is from RefSeq and is a predicted model, not a curated record. Lineage: Eukaryota; Metazoa; Chordata; Aves; Galliformes; Phasianidae.